AUUAAAUAUUACACUGGUCAUAUUAGUGAGAGAGUCAUACUACAAAAGAACAUCCCAGGCAACUGGAGCCAUAAACUUCACCCUCGAUUAAAAGAUAAUAAAGAAAGCAGUAAUCUAUAUCAUCUAUCUAAUGCUUUCAAAAAUUGAAUCCUCAUUACAGCCGCAGAGAUGGAGAAGAAUCCUGUUUAUUACUACCACCUGUUCUUGGGUGGUUUGACUUUAUAAAUUCUGACUAUCCAAUUAGAAGUCGUGAACGCCUCUUCCAAGUAUUCAAGUUUGAUGUCCUUGUUUCCUAUUUCAACUCCCCUGGCUCUAUCAUAUCCAGGAGGCUGGCCAUAUUCUGUUGUCAGCUCACCAAAGCGAUAAUAAGAUAGCUUGUACAUCAGACAGUUCAACAUCUUAGGCGCAGCACCUUUGUCAACACGAUACUCGCCAUUAACAAGGUAAUCUGGUUCUUUGAUGACGGGAAAAACUCCGCCACCUAUCCUCACCAUCCACAAGAAUUUGUUUAUGUCAUCAGAUGAAUACCCAGUUACACCUCCAAACACAACCAAUACAUAAUCCACAUCCAGUGAUCUCAUUAUUUCAUAUGCUUCAUCCUCAUAAGAU
This 609-nucleotide unclassified non-coding RNA is filed under the name Hevea brasiliensis (rubber tree). Lineage: Eukaryota; Viridiplantae; Streptophyta; Magnoliopsida; Malpighiales; Euphorbiaceae. The record is from RNAcentral.